ACUCAAGUGGCGGACGGGUGAGUAACACGUAAGAAUUUACCUUUAGGAGGGGGACAACAAACGGAAACAGUUGCUAAUACCCCAUAUGCUUUCGAGUGAAACGGAUUUUUCCGCCUAUAGAGAAGCUUGCGGCUGAUUAGCUUGUUGGUGAGGUAAUGGCUUACCAAGGCGACGAUCAGUAUCUGGUUUGAGAGGACGAUCAGACACACUGGAACUGAGACACGGUCCAGACUCCUACGGGAGGCAGCAGUGGGGAAUUUUCCGCAAUGGGCGAAAGCCUGACGGAGCAAUCUCGCGUGAGGGAUGACGGCCUAUGGGUUGUAAACCUCUUUUUUCAGGGAGGAAUAAAUGACGUGUACCUGAAGAAUAAGCAUCGGCUAACUCCGUGCCAGCAGCCGCGGUAAGACGGAGGAUGCAAGUGUUAUCCGGAAUCACUGGGCGUAAAGCGUCUGUAGGUGGUUUAAUAAGUCAACUGUUAAAUCUUAAAGCUUAACUUUAAAAUCGCAGUCGAAACUAUUAAACUAGAGUAUAGUAGGGGUAAAGGGAAUUUCCAGUGGAGCGGUGAAAUGCGUAGAGAUUGGAAAGAACACCGAUGGCGAAGGCACUUUACUGGGCUAUUACUGACACUCAGAGACGAAAGCUAGGGUAGCAAAUGGGAUUAGAUACCCCAGUAGUCCUAGCCGUAAACAAUGGAUACUAGAUGUUGAACAGAUCGACCUGUGCAGUAUUAAAGCUAACGCGUUAAGUAUCC
RNAcentral lists this ribosomal RNA (751 nucleotides) under uncultured marine organism. RNAcentral describes it as "SSU rRNA". It matches the Rfam family "Bacterial small subunit ribosomal RNA", at positions 89 to 869 of the family's 1533-position model. The record is from RNAcentral.